CGGACGGGGCGGAUCGAGCCAACCUGGAGGCUGAGUUGGUCAACGUGGCGGAAGAGGACACGCGGCUCCUGGGUGCCAGGGCGGUCCUGCGCCAAAGGCUGGUGCCCAUCUUACAGGACCUUGAUGUGCAGCUGUCGACCAAUGUUUCCGCCGACAGGAUGUCUGCAGAAUGCAGCGUGAAGCAAGCUGGUGGUUCUCUUCAGGCCCAGCUGGGCGGCGCUCUGGAACCCAGGCCUGGGCUGCGGGCGUCCAUCAGAGGGGGUCUGCAACACUCUCUGGCCAGCCUGCCAGCACUGCCACCCACCCUGGGCCUGGAGGGGGCACUGAGGCAGUCGCAGCAGCUCACUGAGGGACAGCUGACCAUGGUGGUCGGGGAGGCUGCUUAUGGCCUGGAGCUGCGCCACCAUGAUUCGGAAGGUCCCGGGGAGCAGGAGCAGGGCGUGCUGGGAGUCGAACCGGGCUGGGCCAGGGCCUGGCUGCACAUGCGUGGCCCAGGACAGAAUCUACAUGUGAAUGUUAGCAGCAACCUGGGGGAUUCGCAUGGCGGGGGGCUCCACGCUACGCUCUCACACUCCUCCGCCCAGCUCCUAGCUGCAGGUCUUCCAUCCAACAGCAGCAUGCGGGCGAGCUGGACCUAUGGUGAGCAUGGUGUCUCCACGGUGACGGAGCUCCAGGUGGGGUCGCAGGGCCUCCGGGCCGAGGUAGAGGGGGGCCGGAGAGGACGGGGACCCCCACGGUGGGAGCUCUUCUCCAGCCUGCGGCACCACUGCACAGCCUUGCUGGAGAGAGGCAUCCCCAGAGCCACGGAUGUUUCCGGACACUAUCAGGCGGAGCCACACGCCAUGAGCGCAGGGGUGGCCGUCCAGGUGGACCAGCGCAGGAAGGCGGAGGUGCUGGUCGAAGGGGGGCGGACGAACGGCAGCGUCAGGGUUGCCGUGUUGAUGGAACACGGCGUGAAGAGGCUGCUGGGAGUCCUGCCCACAAGACUUCAGAUGGACUGCAGCGGAGAUGGCGGCGCGGAGCAGCUCUCCGGCCGGUGCUCUGGAGCCGUGGCCGACCAACCCAUCGAGGUACAAGCCUUCCGCCGGUGGGGGUUUCGACCGCACUGCUCGGGUCUGCAGUUGCGGGUGGGCAGGCAGGCGGCGCAGGCGGAGGGCUGCUACGACACCCUGGGCCGGGAUGAGCUAACAGCCAGUGCAGUCCACUCCUCUGGUGCGCUGCACUCCCUUGGCCUUCCCAGACAGGCCCGCCUACGCGCCCUACUCGAACCCGGGGCCGGCUCAUGGCGGUGUGUGCUGAGCGCUUCUAUAGGCAGGAUGAAUGCGCACCUGAGCGGGGAGCUGAGGGUGGUGCCCGUGUGCAGGUGGCGCGGCCUGGCCUCGUAUCGUGGUCCCGGCAGUCCCGGCACGGUGGAGGUUCGAAGCCUGGUCGGUGUGCGACGCUGCCACCUAGAGGCUGAAUUCAGCACUGUCUUGGGCAAGGGCACCUCCAGCCUGGCGGUGCUCGCUCAUUGCGGAAGCCUGCGGAUCAAGGGCGCACGGGUGCAGGAGGGGCCAAGGAAGAGUCGAACGUCUUUCGUGGCAGUGGGAAGAAUGGGGCAGAACCGCGUUACGGCGUCUUUGGUCCUCAAGCAGAACCGGGACGCGCUGAGCUGCCGGGGAUCCCUCCUGCUGCUGGAGAGGACAGCGGAGCUGGGCUGGACACUACGGCACCGCUGGGCGUCCCUCCGGAGGACCGUCCCUGAGAGGCUGAGCAUGGACGGGUGGGGACGCGUGGGUCGCAGCUCCAUGUCCGGAGGCAUUCGCCUGGCCCUGGGUUCACACACGGCCCAGCUGGACAUGUCCACAGCGUGGCGGCUGGACGCCUCCCUCCGCGCUGCCCUCCGCCACGGGCUGCCUCCCCUUAAGGCUGCCGGAAUCCCGGAGGACUCGCUCCUCAACCUGGCCAUCGGCAGCGAACGGGUCCGUGCCGAUCUGCUCGGCGCCCACUGUGCCGUCUCUGCUCGAGGAGACUUGCAGGGGUCGCACAGAGAGACGUGGAGACUGACCGUCAGGCAGCGCUGCGCAGGGCUGCAGAUGCGGUUCCCCAGGCAGUUCUCGGUGAACGGGACGGUCGCAACCGCUGCCUGCGGCCUGCACCUUGACACCCGGGUGGAGAGUGCUGCUGGGGAAGGGGCGGGGCUAAACCUGGUGUUUGACUGUGCCUCCAAGCUCCGCCUCCAGGCCACCGCGCAGCACACUCUUCCCCCGCUGCAGCGGCUGGGGGUCCCCGCCCACAACACCCUCACCGUCUCGGUCCAGAAGGACCCAGCGCCGGCAGCCAUGCUCCUGGACCUCACGCUGGGCCGGUGCGAGUUGAGAGUCCAGACCAACAUUGACCGUGCCCUUGGACCGGAGGAGACCGGGUCCGGUUGGGCCGCCAACCUGACCAACCGCUGCCUGGUCCUGAAGGAAGCAGGCGUUCCGGAGUCGCUGGAACUCUCCGGGCUGCUCUCUCUGUCCCCCUGCCGCUCCGCCCUGUCCUGCAGCCUGACUGCCGACGGCGAGGCCCUCGCCCUGCAGCUGAGUCACUCCUGCCGUCCCACACACAGCCUCACGGGGGCGGUGACGCACUCUUUCUCCCGGCUCGGCAGCUGGGGCCUGCCCUCCGAAAGCAGGCUGGUCCUGAUGGCACCCGGGGGUCCCGGCCGGGACGGGACCCUCCUGCUGAAGGCGGGCUCUUGUCGAGUUAGAGCCAGCGGAGAUGUGAAACCUGGGGGGCGGAGCCUGUGGGUUUGGACCGCAGAGACCGAGUGUCCGCUCUUAGAGGGCUUCAGUCUGCCGGCUCAGUCCCGGUUCAACGGCUCCCUGCUGCUGGAGGACUGCGCGCUGGAGGUCCGAGCCGACGCUCGGGUCGACGGUCACUGGGCCUCCGUCCGACUGACCGCCGGGUGCCGCCAAGGGCUGCGGCUGGAGGGGCUUCCGGAGCACGGCUCGUUGAUGCCAGAGUCCAGAAGGGCACCGCCUUUACAGUACGGUGCCGAGCUAGAGCUCCGCGUGCGCCGCUGCGCCCUGGGGGUCUCCGGGGGGCUGCGGACAGCAGGGAGGCUGGAGGGCUCACUGCUUCUGCACAACAACUGCACGGCCCUGCAGCACCUGGGGGCUCCAUCCAGGGUUGAAGGACACGGGUCCCUGCUUAUGAGCACGGGGCUCAUGGACUCCCGCGUGUCCCUCGUCUCAGGUGACACCCACCUGCGGGCUCUUCUGAGCACCAAGGCCGCCAGGGUACUGCAGUGCCUUUCCCGCUCCUCGUCACACGACAGCUCAGAGAGAGCACAUCAGU
Molecule: long non-coding RNA, 3321 nt
Filed under: Scleropages formosus (Asian bonytongue)
Lineage: Eukaryota; Metazoa; Chordata; Actinopteri; Osteoglossiformes; Osteoglossidae
Description: lncRNA (ENSSFOG00015033000.1)
Source: RNAcentral